RNAcentral lists this transfer RNA (81 nucleotides) under Odontobutis interrupta. RNAcentral's name for it is "tRNA-Val". The stretch from base 1 to 72 matches the Rfam family "tRNA". Rfam says of the family: Transfer RNA (tRNA) molecules are approximately 80 nucleotides in length. Their secondary structure includes four short double-helical elements and three loops (D, anti-codon, and T loops). Further hydrogen bonds mediate the characteristic L-shaped molecular structure. tRNAs have two regions of fundamental functional importance: the anti-codon, which is responsible for specific mRNA codon recognition, and the 3' end, to which the tRNAs corresponding amino acid is attached (by aminoacyl-tRNA synthetases). tRNAs cope with the degeneracy of the genetic code in two manners: having more than one tRNA (with a specific anti-codon) for a particular amino acid; and 'wobble' base-pairing, i.e. permitting non-standard base-pairing at the 3rd anti-codon position. The record is from RNAcentral. Lineage: Eukaryota; Metazoa; Chordata; Actinopteri; Gobiiformes; Odontobutidae.
CAGAGCGCAGCUAAAUUAGUAUAGCAUCCCCCUUACACCGAGAAGACGCCCGUGCAAGUCGAGCCGCCCUGACACCCCACC